Molecule: transfer RNA, 64 nt
Filed under: Penthe kochi
Lineage: Eukaryota; Metazoa; Arthropoda; Insecta; Coleoptera; Tetratomidae
Description: tRNA-Leu
Source: RNAcentral
UCUAAUAUGGCAGAUUAGUGCAAUGGAUUUAAACCCCAUAUAUAAAGAAAGCCUUUUUUUAGAA